Molecule: long non-coding RNA, 3035 nt
Organism: Harpia harpyja (harpy eagle)
Lineage: Eukaryota; Metazoa; Chordata; Aves; Accipitriformes; Accipitridae
Exons: 4
Source: RefSeq, a predicted model, not a curated record
UUUAGAAAUCACCUUAAUAGUUCCUGUGACACACUCUUAUUGGAUUUACAUUCAUCAGCAAAUCCAAGAAAACAAUUUGAUAAUUUUAGCACAAAGCAGACAAAGAAGGAUUUGCUAAGCUGCUUAGAGCCCUGGCUCUGAAACGUUGGAAAGGUUCAGGUUGAUGUACAUUCACAGGAUAGGCACCAUGGAUGGACUAUAUCAGACAUGAAUAGUGUUUUGAAUCUUUGAAGCCAGCUUAUGAUCAAGAAUGUAUCUCAUUCUGCAGCAAAAUUUAGCAAGGGAAAUAUUUUAUCAAUCUGACAAAGGGAAGCAUCAAUAUUGUUUCAUUAUAUCAUUAUUUUAAGCAGCUUCUCAACACUAUUAAGAUGCAGGAUGAAAAAAGACAUCACUGCUUCUGACUUUUCCUUGACGUCCAUGAAAAAAAGUGCCUGAGGCAUCGCAUUUGCAGUGAAUCCUUCUCUAUGGCAGUGACAUACAGAGUUUGCUGCACCCUUCGUGGGAAGAGGUUCACUUCUAAAACAUCGGUAAUGUAGAGAGAACAAUAAAACGGACAGAUGGAUGGAAGUUCAUGCAGCUGCUACCAUGAAUUCCUUACCAUUCUGGUGAUAAACAAAACAAUCACAAUGAAGAAUGGCCAUUGCAUUCCAAAGGUGACAGACUGAAGAUAUUCCUAAGGAAAGCCUCACCACUGAUAAAGGAUUCAGCAGGACAGUGAACCCUUGAAAUCAAUAGAAAUGGGAAGUCCUCAGCGUCUCUCACAGCUAUUGGCAAAUGAAGGGUUAUUUGCAAAAACUGGAGGUCUAAUUUUUUUUGAAGGUAUGAAUGAUAUGCAAAACUGAAUGUUGAUUCUGAUCCUCCUAUGCCUGUAAGCCUUUCCAGAACCAAGGGGCACAGAAGAGACAACCAUGUAUUUAGGAGUCGUAAUCAGUUGUAGCAUUCAAAAUAAACUUCUGGAUUGUGCCAGCAGAAGCUGGAAACUUUCCUUCCCUGGCAGCUUGAUUUCCAAAAGAUCACUUCUAGUGGCUGAGUAUAAUAGAUUUGAUCUAAAUAAACACUGAGUGUGAUUAAUUAGCACGUGACUACAAUUAGCACAACACCUAUGUCUGUAGUACCAUUUCUCUACCAAAAGAUCCCAUUAUGAGAUGAUUAUAUAUGAUAGUUUCUUGUAAUUAAGGAACUAUAGGAAUGCACAUGGGAAGCUGUCUGGCCCUUAUUUAGAGGGACAUCUGAAAUGGUUUCAUUACACUGGAGAAAGCAGUGGAGUUGCUUUAAAUUUCAUUUAAUCUAAAUUCAGUAUAGGCACUCAUUAGAACUUAUAUGCACUUAUUAGAACAAUCAUCUAGUCUUACUUAUCAGAUUUUGCCUGAUUUUGUCUGUGCUGUAAAACACAUUAUUAUGAAACAUGCUAUCCUGUUUGUUUUGUUAAGGACAGCAUAAUACUAUUUUCUGUUAUUCUUUGUCUUAGUAAACUUUGGACAUGGAUAGUGCCUUCUGUUAUUGAGAAAAUCAGAGCCACUUGAUUAGCCUGUACCUCAAAUGUGCACCAUGAAAAAGAGGAAAAGGUUUCAUGCUUCUCAGAGUACCCUCUUGAUUCAAUUUGCUAUCAGCUUGUACACUGGGAGGCACUUCACUAAAAUGAUAUAAAAUGGAUAGAGUCCAUAGAUAACAUGAACUAUUUUAAUCUCAUUCUUUAAAUGCAGUCUAUUUACCUAUACAAGAUAAAACUAAAAUCUCCAUCUUUCUGAUGGAGUGUUCAAUUUUUGUAAUAACCAGAUUAUCUGAUAAGACCACAAAAAAAAAAUCCUUUAAGGCAAACUAGGAACUUCUGUCAAAAAAAAAGAAAAAAAAAUGUGAAAUGAAAUUAUAGACCAACUUUAACAUAUGAAAAUAAAUAAAGUCUUUGUUGUAAUCGUAUGUUUCUAUUCAUUGAAGGAAUUAUUUCAGUUGACAAAGCUUCCAAUCCCUUAUUGCUGUGAUCAGUUGCUAAUGGAAAUAAUUUAUAGAUUGUGCAGUGUAUGUUCUAUUCUGCACCACUCUGACACAAAUUAAACAAGCUCCCUAAUUCCAGUGGCACUUUUUGCACAAACACUAAUUUACUUGAGCACUAAUAACCCAAUCCAGUCCCUAAAGUCUGGCCAGUUUGGGUCUCUAUCUUAGCCUUGUGUACUGGUGUUCUUCCACUUUCCUUAUUCAAUGUAAAGGGCUAUGAUCAUCACCUCCUCUUUUUAAUGCUUUAAUGCAAUGAAAAGCAUAAGGAUUUUAGCACUUCUCCUCAUUUUUAUUUUGCUUAUGGCAAUUACUUACUUAAAUCAAUGAUUAUUACAUUCCCUAAUUUAGAUUAUCAACAUUAAGAUAUUUACAUAAGUAGAUUAUCAAAAUGGUACUAAUUAAAGCAAUUAAUUGUUACAAAAUGCUCGAAUUUUAAUUUUAAAGUUCUGAUUCUAAAUUUCAAAAAUGCAUCUAGGAAAGAUUUAAUAGAAACCUAUGAAAAGGAUACACAAAGCUUCUUCAGAGAAAAAGGCAACCCUUUCUUAGUUCUAAAUGUCAACUUUAUUCAUAUACAGAUUAUAUUCUCUCUGUAAUUGGAGAAGAACUAGUCAUGCAGAACUGAGUGACCCAACUGAUUACUUAUCCUGUACAAACUACUUUUUCUUUAUCUAUGCCCACUAAUUUACAGAGGAAAGGACCACAGACCACUUGGAGCAUUUUCAGUCAUUCACAGAAAUAAGCCCAAAAUGGACCAUGGUGGUACGAUUUACAGCGGACUUCACAGCACCCUGUUCCCAGAGAGCUGAGGACAUUGGCACUUCUGUGAAUGAAGACUCUUUUGUUAAGUGGCUUUUUAAUACUUUAUUCUAAGGGGAUAUCUCUAAAACUUGUUUUUAUUUUUAAGUUGGGUUUAUUUUGUAAAUUUGAUUUUACCUCAAGACAUCACAAUCUCAACAGUCAUGUGAAGAUGAAUACAUGCUCCAAUCCAGACAACCUGAACAAAAAAGCCAUGCUUCCCUGGCGAGGUUAUGUGAUAUCUUAGA